AUACGGAGGGUGCAAGCGUUAUCCGGAUUCAUUGGGUUUAAAGGGUUCGCAGGCGGCGUAUUAAGUCAGUGGUGAAAUCCCGAGGCUCAACCUCGGAACUGCCAUUGAUACUGGUAUGCUAGAGUAUAGUUGGUGUUGGCGGAAUGUAUCAUGUAGCGGUGAAAUGCUUAGAUAUGAUACAGAACACCGAUCGCGAAGGCAGCUAACGAAACUAUAACUGACGCUCAGGAACGAAAGCGUGGGGAGCGAACAGGAUUAGAAACCCGUGUAGUCC
This 274-nucleotide ribosomal RNA is filed under the name uncultured bacterium. RNAcentral's name for it is "partial 16S ribosomal RNA". It matches the Rfam family "Bacterial small subunit ribosomal RNA", at positions 523 to 796 of the family's 1533-position model. The record is from RNAcentral.